Cyprinus carpio (common carp) is the source of this 197-nucleotide long non-coding RNA. The record is from Ensembl. NCBI's taxonomy places the organism in Eukaryota, Metazoa, Chordata, Actinopteri, Cypriniformes, Cyprinidae.
AUUUGUACUGAGGAGAUUGUGACAUUGUUCUUUCUCUCCGGGCUCAAAAUACAAGCCUUUCCUGUUGAGUGAAGCGUCAGCUGCUGCGAGAGUGUGUGCACUUUCACCUGAAGGCCGCUUAUGCAAUUGAGGCCGUUGACUUUGAGGACAGACGCCAGACGGGGUUCUCAGGGUCACGAAAACAAGGAAGAAGGGUG